RNAcentral lists this ribosomal RNA (709 nucleotides) under uncultured bacterium. RNAcentral describes it as "bacterial SSU rRNA". It matches the Rfam family "Bacterial small subunit ribosomal RNA", at positions 63 to 763 of the family's 1533-position model. The record is from RNAcentral.
CGAGCGGCAGCACGGGGAGCUUGCUCCCUGGUGGCGAGCGGCGGACGGGUGAGUAAUGCAUAGGAAUCUGCCCGGUAGUGGGGGAUAACGUGGGGAAACCCACGCUAAUACCGCAUACGUCCUACGGGAGAAAGCGGAGGAUCUUCGGACUUCGCGCUAUCGGAUGAGCCUAUGUCGGAUUAGCUAGUUGGUAAGGUAACGGCUUACCAAGGCAACGAUCCGUAGCUGGUCUGAGAGGAUGAUCAGCCACACUGGGACUGAGACACGGCCCACACUCCUACGGGAGGCAGCAGUGGGGAAUAUUGGACAAUGGGCGAAAGCCUGAUCCAGCCAUGCCGCGUGUGUGAAGAAGGCUUUCGGGUUGUAAAGCACUUUCAGCGAGGAAGAAAGCCUCUGGGUUAAUACCCCAGAGGAAGGACAUCACUCGCAAAAGAAGCACCGGCUAACUCCGUGCCAGCAGCCGCGGUAAUACGGAGGGUGCGAGCGUUAAUCGGAAUUACUGGGCGUAAAGCGCGCGUAGGUGGCUUGGCACGCCGGUUGUGAAAGCCCCGGGCUCAACCUGGGAACUGCAUCCGGAACGGCCAGGCUAGAGUGCAGGAGAGGAAGGUAGAAUUCCCGGUGUAGCGGUGAAAUGCGUAGAGAUCGGGAGGAAUACCAGUGGCGAAGGCGGCCUUCUGGCCUGACACUGACACUGAGGUGCGAAAGCGUG